RNAcentral lists this ribosomal RNA (540 nucleotides) under Macrotermes sp. ENT-MG362. Its description in RNAcentral is "partial small subunit ribosomal RNA". It matches the Rfam family "Bacterial large subunit ribosomal RNA", at positions 1808 to 2608 of the family's 2925-position model. The record is from RNAcentral. Lineage: Eukaryota; Metazoa; Arthropoda; Insecta; Blattodea; Termitidae.
CAAAAACAUCUUUUCUUGUUAGUUUUUGAAGUAUGGCCUGCCCGCUGAUUUUAGGUUGAAGGGCCGCGGUAUUUUGACCGUGCAAAGGUAGCAUAAUCAUUAGUUCUUUAAUUGUGAUCUGGUAUGAAUGGCUUGACGAGGCAUGGGCUGUCUUGGAUUGGAAUUGUUUAUUGAAUUUGGUUUUUGAGUUAGAAUUCUUAAAUGUUUUUAUGGGACGAGAAGACCCUAUAGAGUUUAACAUUUAUUUAUAUAGCUUGUUUAUAGGUUUGUUUUGUAGUUGCUUUGUGUUAAUGUGUUUUGUUGGGGUGAUGGGAAGAAUUUUCUUAACUCUUCUUUAUUUUGGUAUAUUGAUUUAUAUUGGUUUUGAUCCAUUUAUUUUGAUUAUAAGAUUAAAUUACCUUAGGGAUAACAGCGUUAUCCUCCUUGAGAGUUCUUAUUGGCGGGAGGGUUUGCGACCUCGAUGUUGGAUUAAGGUUGAUUUUUGGUGUAGGAGCUGAAUUGAUUAGGUCUGUUCGACCUUUAAAAUCUUACGUGAUCUGA